Helianthus annuus (common sunflower) is the source of this 1912-nucleotide long non-coding RNA. RefSeq lists it as uncharacterized. The transcript has 11 exons. The record is from RefSeq and is a predicted model, not a curated record. Lineage: Eukaryota; Viridiplantae; Streptophyta; Magnoliopsida; Asterales; Asteraceae.
CAUAUUCCUCUGUCCUUUUUUUUCCUCCCAGAUCUAGAUCUGCACCAAAUUCCUCUCUCUGCAUUUUCAAAAUUUGAAUUCCCAAGUGGAAAGAGAGGAGAGGGAGACAGAGAGAGAAGGAGAAAUAGAGAGAGAGAUGCGAUGGAGAAGGAGAGAUGACGGCAUGAGAAACCCUAAAUACAAAAUUGUUCAGAUCUUGAAGGAUUUCCGAUACGAAACCUUUGUUAGACGAAUAACAUGAAGCCGGUUUCUUCAUCCGUAUGCGGACAACCAGGUCAGUGAAAUUUGAAUCGCCUUUUUGAAGGUUUUCUUGAGUUGCAGCAGGAAACAGAGGCUGCAAGAAACCAAUUGGAGGCAAUGAAGCAAAAGAAACAAACUUUAGAAGCUGAAGUUAGGUUCUUGAGGCGUCGACGCAAAUUUUUAUUGAAAACGAGAACAUCAACUUCACAAGAAGUGAUUUUACCGAAUAUAGAAACAACCCAAUACAGGAAAAGCAAGAAGGAGAAGGUUAAUAACCCGAAGAAGGCUGCGACUUUGACGAAUUUGCCCCCGACUCCAAACGUAAUCUAGAUGGGGAAAAACAAAUAGCAAGAGAAGCCGAUAAGUUUGGAAGUUCAAUGGAGUUGGCCCGUCAAGAAAUAGAAUUGAAUCCAUCUCGAAGAUGACCCGUUUUAAUCUGGUUCAUUGCAAUUCUUUUGUUUUUAUUUUAUUUUAUAUUUUGUCUUGAUAUUCUUUAGGUUGGCAGGGAAACAAAUUGUUCUCUUGCUUGCCAGAGGCAUUAGUUGUGUACUGUUUCUAGAAAAUACAACAAACCCACAACCAUCACUGCCCUUUCAUACUCGGGUAGACAUGGAUAUGGAAGAUGAGGACGCUUCACAGGAAUCUCAUGUUAAAAACCCACAUGACGAAACGAAAGAUCAGGUGGAUGAUUUUAGACCUCAUGCCAGGAGUUACCAGAUCGGGCAAUCAGUAUAACGAGCAUUUUAUGGGUUCCAGUUCGUGCUACUAAUGAUGUAUUAGAAAGAGGAACAUCUGUAGGUUCCAGUUCGUGCUACUAUGAUUACUGAAGAGGAAGCUAAAGCUAUGAAUCCCAAUUCUAUAUUAAACAUAAGAUACACAAGGUUUCCACGUGUUCAAGGCAUGAAUGAUGAAAAAUCCCCUGAAACGAUCCUAGCACACGAUCGAGUUAUCUGUCUAGGGGAUCUAAAUCACCGAAUUGCCCUCUCGUAUCGAUCUGCAAAGGCGCUUGUUGAAAUGCAGAACUGGAGAGCAUUGUUGGUGAAAGAUCAGGUUACACCACCUUAUGGAAACUUUCUUCACUAAAAAGAGAAUUUAGUGCAGGGCCAUCUUGCAUUUGCAUCAAGCAAGCAAGUCUGGGCAAUAUAUAACAUGUUCCUGGCCGGACCCUUCUAAUGAAGGUGGUUCCUUAAAUGCAAAUAUCGACCGGAAAGUUGAUGUAGUCUUUUGUAAUUCAAGUGUAGACAUUACAAAAUUUUAUUUUAUAGUACAGCAAGCACCAUCAACUUAGAUGAACAAAAGGCCUCCUUUAGAAUUGAAUAUUGCGGAAUAAUUGGUUAGACACCUUUGUUAGUAAACUCCCAAACCUAAGUUCGAACCAAGAAUCGAACUGGGCACCUCCCAGGAAGGACCCACCAUGUGGAUUACCCUCCUACCUCAAGCUAGACGAUUGCCUAUGAACCAAACAUGCAUGAGGCAAGUGCAUCGCGCAGGUUUCCUCCUAGAUCGAUCACACCAAUGCUACGAAUAACAAAACGAAUGUAAGUACAAUACAAUAUAUCAUGAGAGAAUUAAUAAACUAACUGAAAACGAGUACUAUGUUGUAAUUUGUAGGUUCCUAUUGUAAAUCGCCAUCGUCGAUCACGAAGAUAGUUAUUUUAUUUAUUUAUUUUUU